RNAcentral lists this ribosomal RNA (910 nucleotides) under Colletotrichum acutatum. RNAcentral's name for it is "eukaryotic LSU rRNA". It matches the Rfam family "Eukaryotic large subunit ribosomal RNA", at positions 1 to 940 of the family's 3401-position model. The record is from RNAcentral. Lineage: Eukaryota; Fungi; Ascomycota; Sordariomycetes; Glomerellales; Glomerellaceae.
GUUGACCUCGGAUCAGGUAGGAAUACCCGCUGAACUUAAGCAUAUCAAUAAGCGGAGGAAAAGAAACCAACAGGGAUUGCCCCAGUAACGGCGAGUGAAGCGGCAACAGCUCAAAUUUGAAAUCUGGCCCCAGGCCCGAGUUGUAAUUUGCAGAGGAUGCUUUUGGCGCGGUGCCUUCCGAGUUCCCUGGAACGGGACGCCAUAGAGGGUGAGAGCCCCGUACGGUUGGACACCAAGCCUUUGUAAAGCUCCUUCGACGAGUCGAGUAGUUUGGGAAUGCUGCUCUAAAUGGGAGGUACAUUUCUUCUAAAGCUAAAUAUUGGCCAGAGACCGAUAGCGCACAAGUAGAGUGAUCGAAAGAUGAAAAGCACUUUGAAAAGAGGGUUAAACAGCACGUGAAAUUGUUAAAAGGGAAGCGCUUGUGACCAGACUUGCGUCCGGUGAAUCACCCAGCUCUCGCGGCUGGGGCACUUCGCCGGCACAGGCCAGCAUCAGCUUGCCGUCGGGGACAAAAGCUUCAGGAACGUAGCUCCUCUCGGGGAGUGUUAUAGCCUGUUGUAUAAUACCCUUCGGCGGGCUGAGGUACGCGCUCCGCAAGGAUGCUGGCGUAAUGGUCAUCAGCGACCCGUCUUGAAACACGGACCAAGGAGUCAACCUUAUGUGCGAGUGUUUGGGUGUUAAACCCCUACGCGUAAUGAAAGUGAACGCAGGUGAGAGCUUCGGCGCAUCAUCGACCGAUCCUGAUGUUCUCGGAUGGAUUUGAGUAAGAGCAUAUAGGGUUGGACCCGAAAGAAGGUGAACUAUGCGUGUGUAGGGUGAAGCCAGAGGAAACUCUGGUGGAGGCUCGCAGCGGUUCUGACGUGCAAAUCGAUCGUCAAACAUGCGCAUGGGGGCGAAAGACUAAUCGAAC